AUACGGAGGGUGCAAGCGUUGUCCGGAAUCACUGGGUGUAAAGGGUGUGUAGGCGGGAUUGUAAGUCAGAGGUGAAAUCCUACAGCUCAACUGUAGAACUGCCUUUGAUACUGCAAUUCUUGAGUUUCGGAGAGGUCAUUAGAAUUCGUGGUGUAGCGGUGAAAUGCGUAGAUAUCACGAGGAAUACCAGAGGCGUAGGCGGAUGACUGGACGAAUACUGACGCUGAGGCACGAAAGCGUGGGGAGCAAACAGGAUUAGAUACCCCGGUAGUCC
This 274-nucleotide ribosomal RNA is filed under the name uncultured bacterium. RNAcentral's name for it is "partial 16S ribosomal RNA". It matches the Rfam family "Bacterial small subunit ribosomal RNA", at positions 523 to 796 of the family's 1533-position model. The record is from RNAcentral.